This is a long non-coding RNA of Colossoma macropomum (tambaqui), 368 nucleotides long. RefSeq lists it as uncharacterized. The record is from RefSeq and is a predicted model, not a curated record. Lineage: Eukaryota; Metazoa; Chordata; Actinopteri; Characiformes; Serrasalmidae. The transcript has 5 exons.
CAACAAUGGACUGGGCAACUCUUGCAGGAGUGGCAGUGGGAGCAGUUGGAACAGUGGCAUUAGCCCCAGUUGUGUUAACAGCAGCGGGUUUCGCCGCUGGAGGCAUAACCGCAGGAUCCGUCGCCACAGCUGCUGGAGUCGCAGCAUCUUUAAUUGGAACCCAUUUUUGGACCCCUCCAGCGUAUGCCACUUGGGGCUCUUCUGAACAAUUCUACUGUCCAGAAAACACGAUCUGUCUUUAGAUUUGUUUGCGAGGAAGUGGAUCCUCUGAAGCUAGUUCAAUGCUAACAUGCUAACUUGAAUCUACAUGAAGGAAAACAUAUGCACUACUGCAAUUACCUCAGCAAUAAAAUGAUGAUAAAAAUGUU